RNAcentral lists this long non-coding RNA (641 nucleotides) under Pan troglodytes (chimpanzee). Its description in RNAcentral is "long non-coding RNA NONPTRT001886". Lineage: Eukaryota; Metazoa; Chordata; Mammalia; Primates; Hominidae. The record is from RNAcentral.
GCGGGCGGGCGGCGUGCGCGUGUGCGGGAGGGGGCGCGUGGGGGCGCGGGAGGGGCCUCGGCCCUGCCAUGCCGGUCUCCGCCCGCGGGGGAGGAGACGGGGGAGGAGGAGGGGAGCAGCCGGCCGGGGCGACUCGGUGACCAGCCGGCCGGCCCCGCAGAGGUGGCUGCACUGCCCGCCGCCGGAGAUGGGGGGACAGAUCACCCGGAGCACUCUCCACGACUCUAUCGGGGGCCCCUUCCCCGUCACUUCUCACCGAUGCCACCACAAGCAGAAGCACUGUCCGGCGGUGCUGCCCAGCGGGGGGCUCCCAGCCACACCGCUGCUCUUCCACCCGCACACCAAGGGCUCCCAGAUCCUCAUGGACCUCAGCCACAAGGCUGUCAAGAGGCAGGCCAGCUUCUGCAACGCCAUCACCUUCAGCAACCGCCCGGUCCUCAUCUACGAGCAAGUCAGGCUGAAGAUCACCAAGAAGCAGUGCUGCUGGAGCGGGGCCCUGCGGCUGGGCUUCACUAGCAAGGACCCGUCCCGCAUCCACCCUGACUCGCUGCCCAAGUACGCCUGCCCCGACCUGGUGUCCCAGAGUGGCUUCUGGGCCAAGGCGCUGCCUGAGGAGUUUGCCAAUGAGGGCAACAUCAAAG